GACCGGUUUCUGGGUAGAGGCAUAUGUUGAAUUUUCUAUCAUUUUAGUUCAUCUUAUCUAAGUCUUCCACUUAAAUCUCAUAUUCCGCUGUUAUUUAAAUAUUCAUUGCUUGUUGCCAUAUGUGGUAAAAAGAAUUUAAAACAAAAGAGUUAAGAAUUUAUAAUUUCGUGGCUUGCCUGAGUAGGUGUCAUCACGACUCCCAAAGAUGUAAAAUCCGAAUAGUGACAAAGGAAAUAUUUAAGUUCCUUUAAUCAAUUUUCCCAUAACCCCCAACAGAAACGCUCACAAAGACAUAUUCAUUCAAGUUAUGACAUUGCACACUAAACCAAGAUCUGGAAAAAUACAUACGAGAACAUACCUAAACAACAAAUCAACAAAAAUUUUGAAUUGAAACGGAAACUUCAGCAAAUAACAGUCCCAAAUCAUAGGAAGAAAAAUUUGACCCAAGCAAAUCAAUAAGCAGCAGCCAAACGAACACAGCUUCGAUUUUAAAUUAUUCGAAUCCAAACUAUGAAGCAAUCUACCCAAAUUCUACUGUUUUUCCAUUUUUUUGAUUUGUGAGUUUAAGAUCUCCAUUCAAGUUUUCCAACUCGGUUUCAGCUGUGCACGUCCGUAAGUAAGGGAAUGACGCUUUUUGCUAACUUCCAUGGAGAUGGGGGUUUAGCCACUUAUGGCUGAUGCCAUUAUUAAAAAAGAAAAAGAGAGGGGGUGAUGAGAAAAAAUUGACGGCUGAGCUAUUAGGAGUGAGAGAGAUGGAGUAGCUGCUACUAGAUUUUUUGUAUGUUUUUGGGGUGUUCGCUGGAAUUUUUCUCCGAUGAAGAAAGAAGAAAAGGGGUCUCUUUUAGAGAGGCGUCGUUUCUUGUAUUUGCUAAAGGUAAGGGAUCUAAUGAUAUUAGGUUUUAUUAGCUUU
Molecule: long non-coding RNA, 910 nt
Filed under: Nicotiana benthamiana
Lineage: Eukaryota; Viridiplantae; Streptophyta; Magnoliopsida; Solanales; Solanaceae
Description: long non-coding RNA (NBEN_LNC017660)
Source: RNAcentral